GGUGGCGACCAAAGCGGCUGGGAACCACCCGUACCCAUACCGAACACGGAAGUGAAACCAGCCAGCGUACUUCCGAGUACUGCAGCGCAUGCUGUGGGAAAGGAAGUGCGUCGCCACCC
RNAcentral lists this ribosomal RNA (119 nucleotides) under Nanopusillaceae archaeon. RNAcentral also lists the same sequence under 1 other name. The record is from RNAcentral. Lineage: Archaea; Nanobdellati; Nanobdellota; Candidatus Nanoarchaeia; Nanoarchaeales; Nanopusillaceae.